RNAcentral lists this ribosomal RNA (403 nucleotides) under Verrucomicrobiota bacterium. Its description in RNAcentral is "Verrucomicrobia bacterium partial 16S ribosomal RNA". It matches the Rfam family "Bacterial small subunit ribosomal RNA", at positions 355 to 776 of the family's 1533-position model. The record is from RNAcentral. Lineage: Bacteria; Pseudomonadati; Verrucomicrobiota.
UGGGGAAUAUUGCACAAUGGGGGAAACCCUGAUGCAGCGACGCCGCGUGAGCGAAGAAGGUUUUCGAAUCGUAAAGCUCUGUCCUAUGAGAAGAUAAUGACGGUAUCAUAGGAGGAAGCCCCGGCUAAAUACGUGCCAGCAGCCGCGGUAAUACGUAUGGGGCGAGCGUUGUCCGGAAUUAUUGGGCGUAAAGGGUACGUAGGCGGUUUUUUAAGUCAGGUGUCAAAGCGUGGAGCUUAACUCCAUUAAGCACUUGAAACUGAAAGACUUGAGUGAAGGAGAGGAAAGUGGAAUUCCUAGUGUAGCGGUGAAAUGCGUAAAUAUUAGGAGGAAUACCGGUGGCGAAGGCAACUUUCUGGAACUUUACUGACGCUCAGGUACGAAAGCGUGGGGAGCAAACAGG